Mytilus californianus (California mussel) is the source of this 775-nucleotide long non-coding RNA. RefSeq lists it as uncharacterized. NCBI's taxonomy places the organism in Eukaryota, Metazoa, Mollusca, Bivalvia, Mytilida, Mytilidae. The record is from RefSeq and is a predicted model, not a curated record. The transcript has 3 exons.
UAUAAUACUACAAAAGCAGUGGAUCGACAUGUUACACCCGAGAUGUUUCAAAGAAUUGUUACAAAGACAGGCAUUUUCAUUCCUAUUGGAACAUGCACUUGAUAAAGUACCAGGGAAGCGUUACAGGGUGAAGGUUGUUGACACAAUCCUUGAUUUAGAUGUAACUAAGAAUAAAGAAACAAUAACCAAUAUUACAAGUUUUUACAACUUUAGAUUUGAGAGCAGUCAUUUGAGGAUGUGGCAGACAUACAAUAUUGAUGAAGGAAAGCUUGUGACUUUAAAAUCAACAAAGAAUUCUGCAGAGGCGGAUUUAGAGGGUUUUUCAGGGGACCCGGGCCCCCCUUUUGUGGGAAAAAUUUUGUUGAUUAUAUAGGGAAUCACUGAAGCAUGACUGGAGCGGGCCCCCUCUUAAGCAGUCAGUGGGCCCCCCCUUAUGAAAAUUUCUGGAUCCGCCACUGUUCUGUGCAGUUAAAAGUGCUCAAUGACUGGACAGAGAUGUCUUUUAAUGACCUCAUUACUGAAGGUAAUUUUAUAAUUAUUUCAUUUACUAACUGUCAUGUACAAAACUUAAGCACACUUGUAAGACAAUGAUCAUUAUUAUAUUUUGUCACAACAACCGAGAAAAACCAACACAAAACUCAAUAAACAUUGCUAUGCAUUAUUAAAAUUUCCUGCUUGUGGGUUACAGGAUUAUGGGUAUCGACAGAAUCUUAUUAUAGAUAAUCAGGCUGUCCAUUGUUGAAAGAGAAAUUUAUACAUGUUGUAUCGUUGUCCU